AUUGAACGCUGGCGGCAGGCCUAACACAUGCAAGUCGAAUGGUAACAGGAAACAGCUUGCUGUUUCGCUGACGAGUGGCGGACGGGUGAGUAAUGUCUGGGAAACUGCCUGAUGGAGGGGGAUAACUACUGGAAACGGUAGCUAAUACCGCAUAACGUCGCAAGACCAAAGAGGGGGACCUUCGGGCCUCUUGCCAUCAGAUGUGCCCAGAUGGGAUUAGCUAGUAGGUGGGGUAACGGCUCACCUAGGCGACGAUCCCUAGCUGGUCUGAGAGGAUGACCAGCCACACUGGAACUGAGACACGGUCCAGACUCCUACGGGAGGCAGCAGUGGGGAAUAUUGCACAAUGGGCGCAAGCCUGAUGCAGCCAUGCCGCGUGUAUGAAGAAGGCCUUCGGGUUGUAGAGUACUUUCAGCGGGGAGGAAGGGAGUAAAGUUAAUACCUUUGCUCAUUGACGUUACCCGCAGAAGAAGCACCGGCUAACUCCGUG
This 490-nucleotide ribosomal RNA is filed under the name uncultured bacterium. RNAcentral's name for it is "partial 16S ribosomal RNA". It matches the Rfam family "Bacterial small subunit ribosomal RNA", at positions 30 to 507 of the family's 1533-position model. The record is from RNAcentral.